CGCGUAGGCGGCCCGGCAAGUCGGAUGUGAAAGCCCGGGGCUCAACCUCGGAACGGCAUUCGAAACUGCUGGGCUCGAGAACGGAAGAGGAGAGUGGAAUACCCAGUGUAGAGGUGAAACUCGUAGAUAUUGGGUGGAACACCGGUGGCGAAAGCGGCUCUCUGGUCCGGGUCUGACGCUGAGGCGCGAAAGCGUGGGGAGCAAACA
Molecule: ribosomal RNA, 207 nt
Filed under: uncultured bacterium
Lineage: Bacteria
Description: partial 16S ribosomal RNA
Rfam family: Bacterial small subunit ribosomal RNA
Source: RNAcentral